GACAGAGGGUGCAAACGUUGCUCGGAAUUACUGGGCGUAAAGCGCGUGUAGGCGGACCGCCAAGUCGGACGUGAAAGCCCUGAGCUCAACUCAGGAACUGCAUCCGAAACUGGCGGUCUGGAGUAGUGGAGAGGAAAGCAGAAUUCCUGGUGUAGAGGUGAAAUUCGUAGAUAUCAGGAGGAACACCGGUGGCGAAGGCGGCUUUCUGGACACUUACUGACGCUGAGGGACGAAAGCUAGGGGAGCGAACGGG
This 253-nucleotide ribosomal RNA is filed under the name uncultured bacterium. RNAcentral's name for it is "partial 16S ribosomal RNA". It matches the Rfam family "Bacterial small subunit ribosomal RNA", at positions 524 to 776 of the family's 1533-position model. The record is from RNAcentral.